CGAGGCAGAAAUGCGUAGCUGAUGGGAAACAGGUUAAUAUUCCUGUACCUGGAGGUAGUGACGAAUCCCGUGUGUUGUUUACCCUUAUUGGAUUGGGUAGGCCGCGAAGGGGUUCCAGGAAAUAGCUCCUCCAUUAUAGACCGUACCCCAAACCGACACAGGUGGUCUGGUAGAGUAUACCAAGGCGCUUGAGAGAACUAUGUUGAAGGAACUCGGCAAAAUGCUCCCGUAAGUUCGCGAGAAGGGAGACCUCCACUUAGGCAACUAGGUGGGGGUGGCACAGACCAGGGGGUGGCGACUGUUUACUAAAAACACAGGACUUUGCAAAAUUGAAUAAUGAUGUAUAAAGUCUGACGCCUGCCCAGUGCUGUAAGAUGAAACUAAUAAAUAUAGGUUUAUUCAGAUAAGUCCCAGUAAACGGCGGCUGUAUUCCUGACGGUCCGAAGGUAGCGAAAUUCCUUGGCAGGUAAAUUCUGUCCUGCACGAAUGGCGUAACGACUGCCUUACUGUCUCCAAUUAUAAUUCAGUGAAAUUAAAUUUUAGGUGAAAAUGCCUAAUUAGAACAGCGGGACGGAAAGACCCUAUGCACCUUUACUGGAAUCUUAUAUUGGUUUAGAUGAUUGGCGCGAAUAGUUAUUUUAAUUUUUAUUCUAAUAAUUAAUUAAGACAUAGUCUAAAUCUACAAAAUUAAAUAAAAGCAAAAUAUUAAUUUAAAAUUUUAUUUUGUAAGAAUGCCAGUUUCACUGGGGCGGUGACCUUCAAAAAAGUAACGAAGGUGGGUAAAAUUUUAACAAAGUAUAAAUUUUUAUAUGAUGAAUUUCAAUGAGUAUAGUUAAAAUUGAUUAAAAAAUCAACAAAUUUUUUAAGUAUAAAUUGUAUAUUUUAUAAAUCAUAGUGACCCGAUAAUUUUGAUUGAUAAAUUUAUCGAUUAACGGAUAAAAGGUACGCUAGGGAUAACAGGCUAAUGACUUUUGAGAGUUCUCAUUGAUAAAGUAGAUUGGCACCUCGAUGUCGGCUUAUCAUAUCCUGGUUGUGAAUAAUCUUCCAAGGGUCGGUCUGUUCUACCGUUAAAAUGGUACAUGAGCUGGGUUUAGAACGUCGUGACACAGUUUGGUCCCUA
This 1120-nucleotide ribosomal RNA is filed under the name uncultured Stichotrichia. Its description in RNAcentral is "partial Bacterial large subunit ribosomal RNA". It matches the Rfam family "Bacterial large subunit ribosomal RNA", at positions 1397 to 2640 of the family's 2925-position model. Lineage: Eukaryota; Ciliophora; Spirotrichea. The record is from RNAcentral.